AUGGAGUUCAAGGCAAGGUGAACCAGAAAAGGAUCGGUUAUAGGAAAGUCACGGGCCUUCGCUUUGCUAGCUACCUCUAUCAUACUUAGAUGAUACACUCCCAAAUCCUUCACACCAUCAUAAUUCAUUGUAGCUAGCUUGUUCAUCAAAUUCCCAGUCUCAGCCUUCUUCGAUUCCUUAAAUUUUUGACUCACAACCUCCAAGUACUCCUUAGCAUUCUCAGAGUGAGGAAUGUCACCACAAAUAGCUUCAGUCGUGGACUUUUGUAUUAAACCAUGACAUCUUUCAUGGGUUGUUAACUUUAUGUGAAAUUUUGAUCAGUGAAGGGCGAGAGGUGCAACAUCCCUGGACCCAUUGUCUAGGGGGCCCAAUUUUGUUUUCUUUUUUAAUAUAUGUAUUUAAUAUUCAUUUAAUAUAUUAUAUAUUCAUGAAAUAUUUUCAGGAAAAUGAAAAUGGAUAACUUCAGGUUUCUUGAGAUAACAUUGAAACGCGUGGAACUCCUCUUCUGCAUUGUUGCACUGCACCACUUCCACUCCUCAAGGUUUAAUGUUCGAUUUUUCCUGUUAUAAUUCAUUAAUAUUUAUCUUGAAUGUUAAAUUUCUAGUUAACUUUGAGAUGUUAAUUUUUCUUGGUUUUGCUUUAAAAAUGAGAGUAAAUUUAGCACAUAAGUUUUAUAAAUAAAAAUUAUGACAGAGUAAUUCUUUACUUUUGCUCUGAGGUAGGGUUUGUGCUUAUGAUUUGUGUAUGAGAUUGGGGACCUAAACCUUGUAUCCAUAACCAAAUAGGAAAGAUAUCUCCUAUUAAUUUGAUAUUUUCUUCCCUUAGAAGUAACUAGCUAAUCGAAUUAAACCUUCCUCUUUUAUCCUUGACAGAUUUGGUGUCUUAAGAAGAUGGGGCACAAACAUUUUAGCUACAAGGAGCUUGUAGCUUAAAUGGUUAAGAGAAGUUAUUCAUAUACUCAAAAUUGUGUUUUUGGAUUCUCCCGACUAAGUUGACAUUUCAAAAUCGUGUUUUCAAAUUCUCCCAAGCUAGGUUGACAUUGACAAAGCAUGGGUUUUGUUGCCAUUCUGGGCCUUUCUUUGGGAAUCAGGCUUGUUAACCUAAAGGUUAUAUAUGACUCGAGUGGGGAAAACCCCAUCAACAUGUAGCCCAAGUAAUAUAUUCUUCAUGAAUCAAAUACAAGGAGUAUAUAUAGUAGUCUUUAAUUAUAUUUAUUGUUUUGGUAGCUGUCUUUAAUUUAUACCUAAAUAUUUUGAAUGUCAAAAAUUAUAUGAAAGCUAUUGGGGCUUAUGAUUCUCUUUCUUUUUUUAUUUCUUUUUUUAAAUUAUCAGUUUGUUUUUAAAAACCAAAAAACUAUAUACUAAAUCAGUUUGUUUUUAAAAUCUCAAAUUGUUGACCGUUCUUUAUGCUUUCUUUUUUAUAAUCAGCUGAUUUCUGAGCCCUUUGAGGGAGCUGUGUGUGAAACUGAGUAACGGUUUCCUUUUUUAGAUUUCUAUAACACUGUAACCCAAAAAUGCAACAAAAUUUUUGAAUAAACUCGGAAAUAUUCAAACAAAAUUCAAGAAAAAUGCACUAUUUUCUUAAUGUUUUAUGAUGCAUUGUAGAUGUCAGCAAUACCAUAGCACACACCAAAGCCCUGGGACAUGGAGGAGCGUGGGAGGGUAUUGGGGCCUAUGGUAGCUUUAAGGUGUCCAAAAGACACCGAAAGUGGGAUCCAUGCAUAAAUAUAAAGUCAUUUUGCAGAUUUGGAUCAUCAUCAUCAUCAUCAUCGCACAACCCCAAC
RNAcentral lists this long non-coding RNA (1783 nucleotides) under Prunus dulcis (almond). RNAcentral describes it as "sRNA ncRNA". Lineage: Eukaryota; Viridiplantae; Streptophyta; Magnoliopsida; Rosales; Rosaceae. The record is from RNAcentral.